Molecule: ribosomal RNA, 460 nt
Filed under: uncultured bacterium
Lineage: Bacteria
Description: partial 16S ribosomal RNA
Rfam family: Bacterial small subunit ribosomal RNA
Source: RNAcentral
CCUACGGGAGGCAGCAGUGAGGAAUAUUGGUCAAUGGACGAGAGUCCGAACCAGCCAAGUAGCGUGAAGGAUGACUGCCCUAUGGGUUGUAAACUUCUUUUAUAUGGGAAUAAAAUUUUCCACUUGUGGGAUUUUGUAUGUACCAUAUGAAUAAGGAUCGGCUAACUCCGUGCCGGCAGCCGCGGUAAUACGGAGGAUCCGAGCGUUAUCCGGAUUUAUUGGGUUUAAAGGGAACGUAGGUGGAUUGUUAAUUCAGUUGUGAAAGUUUGCGGCUCAACCGGAAAAUUGCAGUUGAUACUGGCAGUCUAGAGUACAGUAGAGGUGGGUGGAAUUCGUGGUGUAGCGGUGAAAUGCUUAGAGAUCACGAAGAACUCCGAUGGCGAAGGCAGCCCACUGGACUGCAACUGACACUGAGGCGCGAAAGUGUGGGGAUCAAACAGGAUUAGAUACCCGAGUAGUC